GGACUCUUCAGCAAUUGAACUCCUGUAGACAACAGAUGGCAGAUAAUCACUCGAACAGCCUCCAAUUUUGUCAGUAAAAGAAAAGUGAUCGUCCACCUCUCUCCUACAGUAAGUAGCUGAGGAUAUUUCCAUUGAGACCAUUAUAAUAAGAAGACUGAAGGUCUGAGAUCAGAAAGAAGACCGCUUCAAGCAGAGAGAAUACUUGGGUUUCAAGUGACUUGCCAUAAUACCUUCAAGCAACUCUGACAAAACAGCCCAGUAGAACCCUUCAGUGAGGGAAUUGUCCUAGGUUAAGAAAAUCAAACAAAAGGAGACUAAAUAAUUUGCUGAAGAUCAAACAGAAAGUGGAUUCGGAACCCAGGUAAUUUGAUUCCUUUUGAGCUAUCCAAAAGGCCUGCAUAUAAUAAUGA
Acinonyx jubatus (cheetah) is the source of this 410-nucleotide long non-coding RNA. RefSeq lists it as uncharacterized. The record is from RefSeq and is a predicted model, not a curated record. The transcript is spliced from 4 exons. Lineage: Eukaryota; Metazoa; Chordata; Mammalia; Carnivora; Felidae.